AUGGGUUCUAAUAAAUCUGCUCAAGUAAAUCAGUGUUGGCUCCUAAUGAAAUUCGGCCAAAGGGCAUGUCAAUCAAUAUCAAAUCUGUUGAAUACUAAGAUGGAUUUGGUCACUACUUGUAGAGAGAUAAGCAAAGCACUACCACUGCCCACUACUUGUAGAGAGAUAAGCAGAGCCAAUGGCAUCCUAGGAGGAGGAGGUGAACUUGGUGAUGGUAUAUGUGCCCUCAGAGACGGCGUGCUUGGCGAGCUCGCUAGGGAGGACAAGGCAGCAGCCAUGGCCGGGGGUGGAAGAAACCCAUCUGACAUGGGGAAAGGGGGAGAGGUGAGGCAAGGACUUACAGCGGGGUAA
This 351-nucleotide ribosomal RNA is filed under the name Triticum aestivum (bread wheat). RNAcentral describes it as "partial small subunit ribosomal RNA". The record is from RNAcentral. Lineage: Eukaryota; Viridiplantae; Streptophyta; Magnoliopsida; Poales; Poaceae.